UCCCUACGGGGUGCACCAGGCGCGAAAACUUUACAAUGCAGGAAACUGUGAUAAGGGAACCCCGAGUGCCUGUAUGGACAGGCUGUUCAGGUGCGUAAAAAACACCUGGAGAAAGGACCGGGCAAGACCGGUGCCAGCCGCCGCGGUAAUACA
This 153-nucleotide ribosomal RNA is filed under the name uncultured Methanomicrobia archaeon. RNAcentral describes it as "partial 16S ribosomal RNA". It matches the Rfam family "Archaeal small subunit ribosomal RNA", at positions 319 to 477 of the family's 1478-position model. The record is from RNAcentral. Lineage: Archaea; Methanobacteriati; Methanobacteriota; Methanomicrobia.